This 497-nucleotide ribosomal RNA is filed under the name uncultured bacterium. RNAcentral describes it as "partial 16S ribosomal RNA". It matches the Rfam family "Bacterial small subunit ribosomal RNA", at positions 28 to 507 of the family's 1533-position model. The record is from RNAcentral.
GACGAACGCUGGCGGCGUGCCUAAUACAUGCAAGUUGAGCGCUGAAGGUUGGUACUUGUACCAACUGGAUGAGCAGCGAACGGGUGAGUAACGCGUGGGGAAUCUGCCUUUGAGCGGGGGACAACAUUUGGAAACGAAUGCUAAUACCGCAUAAAAACUUUAAACACAAGUUUUAAGUUUGAAAGGUGCAAUUGCAUCACUCAAAGAUGAUCCCGCGUUGUAUUAGCUAGUUGGUGAGGUAAAGGCUCACCAAGGCGAUGAUACAUAGCCGACCGGAGAGGGUGAUCGGCCACAUUGGGACUGAGACACGGCCCAAACUCCUACGGGAGGCAGCAGGAGGGAAUCUUCGGCAAUGGACGAAAGUCUGACCGAGCAACGCCGCGUGAGUGAAGAAGGUUUUCGGAUCGUAAAACUCUGUUGGUAGAGAAGAACGUUGGUGAGAGUGGAAAGCUCAUCAAGUGACGGUAACUACCCAGAAAGGGACGGCUAACUACGUG